CUGGCUCACUAGCAACCAAAGUGAUGUCUGCCAAGGCAGUUAUCUGAACGCUGUGCUGGAAGUAACAUGGCCUAAAUGAGGGACUUCACUCCAUCCUGAUAGCCUCGCACCAUGUUCCCCUUUCUCAACAAUCAACUCUUUUUUUUUUUAAUUUUCAGGCGUUCCAGGAUCAGAUAUCAUUAAAGGUCCCGGCAUUCAGUGUGCUACGCACCAACUCUCUCAUAGCAUUUGAGGCAAAGAAACGAAGGAGGUGACAGGCAUGAGAAAGUCUAGAUGGAGGAGAUCAAACCAGCAGUGAAGUCUGUCCCGUUCUUUUAUGAAGAGACAUCCUGAAGAGACUUGCUGUAGUCAAACAUUCCUGCACUGGCAAGUGCUGUAUAUCUGAGGAGACUUGUGGUAUGCUGUUGUCCCUGUGCUGGAGUAUUUCGCUGGGAGAAGCUUUUGGUUUGCCUCCUAGAUUGGUCAGAAUGUGGCUGCUCUAUCCUACAUGGCCAAGGGGAAAGAAUAGCCAUGAGAUACUUCAGAAGAGACAGCACGAUCUGGUGGUGGGAUGCAGAGGUCUGAAGUCUCUUUCUUGCUCUGUCAAGCAUGUGCUCUUCAGGUUUGGUGCAGACUUGUCUGCUGGAGCUGGACCCUGCAGCUCCCCUGACAGCGUCUGGACCCAAACUGCUCAAGCAGCUAGUCUCCCAGUUCAGCCAGCACCACCAGCCAGGUAAGAGGCAACAGAGUGCUUUGCAAUGGUGAGGAGCAGGAAGGGCUGUGCAGAUUGCUGCCAGGGCCAAGGGCAUGGAGCUCGCUCAGCUUUUGUCUCCCUUUUCUAUGCAUCUCACCAGUUUCAAAAGGGCUGGAAGUUUCCUAGAAAAUCUUGAGCCUCUUGUCCGUAGCUCCUUCACAGCUGUGUUUGCUAAGGGUCCCUUGUUCAGCCCCUUGUCCUUUCAGACUACACUCCUCUUUUCACCUUCUCUUGUUUUCUUCUCAUGUCUGUCGCUUUCUUUCUCACCUCUGGAGGAGAGCAUGUGCUGGUAUUCCUUCACAGGCAGAUGCAGUAUCAGCCACUGUUUUCCCCUCUGAGCCACAUCAAGAGGUUUACAUGUCCCCUGGUACCCCCCCAAACCCUGCAUUCUGCUGCUGCAUGCUGAUGCUGAGGUCUCUCCUGUUUGUCUUCUGUUGCUCUACUCAAGUAACCUGCGCCUUGUUUCCUUGCACAUUUUAAUGUCUUUUGGAGGUUAAAAAAAAAAAAAAGCAAUUAUAGCAAUACAAGAAUAGUGGUUUUGUAUUCCUGUUUGACUGCUCCUGGGAUGCUUUCACAUGUGGCAGGCAUACUCAGACAAUCAAUCAUGUGCAUCCACAAAGCGUAGCUGUAAAAUAGUGCCUGACAGAUGAAGAUGUCUCUUCCUUCUCUUCUGUGCUGUGUUUAGGAGACUUUCAGAACUCCUGCUUUUGUUGUGCCAGCUCGCUUCCCCUUCCCGACCCCCAGGCAUGUUCUAUUGGAUAGGAUAAAAGCAGAUACGGUGCAUCUUGUGAAAAUUAAACAUUAGCGUCUUCUUUUUCACUGCUGUUCCUCUUUGGAGCUAGGAGGUAGACAAGGUCAACGGAUGCUCAUAAACAUGAAAUAAAAUUGGGAGAGAGAUGGUUUACA
Numida meleagris (helmeted guineafowl) is the source of this 1639-nucleotide long non-coding RNA. Lineage: Eukaryota; Metazoa; Chordata; Aves; Galliformes; Numididae. The record is from Ensembl.